GAUGAACGCUGGCGGCGUGCCUAAUACAUGCAAGUCGAGCGAACAGACGAGGAGCUUGCUCCUCUGACGUUAGCGGCGGACGGGUGAGUAACACGUGGACAACCUACCUAUAAGACUGGGAUAACUUCGGGAAACCGGAGCUAAUACCGGAUAAUAUAUUGAACCGCAUGGUUCAAUAGUGAAAGACGGUUUUGCUGUCACUUAUAGAUGGAUCCGCGCCGCAUUAGCUAGUUGGUAAGGUAACGGCUUACCAAGGCAACGAUGCGUAGCCGACCUGAGAGGGUGAUCGGCCACACUGGAACUGAGACACGGUCCAGACUCCUACGGGAGGCAGCAGUAGGGAAUCUUCCGCAGUGGGCGAAAGCCUGACGGAGCAACGCCGCGUGAGUGAUGAAGGUCUUCGGAUCGUAAAACUCUGUUAUUAGGGAAGAACAAAUGUGUAAGUAACUAUGCACGUCUUGACGGUACCUAAUCAGAAAGCCACGGCUAACUACGUG
This 497-nucleotide ribosomal RNA is filed under the name uncultured bacterium. Its description in RNAcentral is "partial 16S ribosomal RNA". It matches the Rfam family "Bacterial small subunit ribosomal RNA", at positions 28 to 507 of the family's 1533-position model. The record is from RNAcentral.